This 499-nucleotide ribosomal RNA is filed under the name Myriophora brevitarsus. Its description in RNAcentral is "partial 16S ribosomal RNA". The stretch from base 1 to 162 matches the Rfam family "Archaeal large subunit ribosomal RNA", at positions 1889 to 2096 of the family's 2987-position model. Lineage: Eukaryota; Metazoa; Arthropoda; Insecta; Diptera; Phoridae. The record is from RNAcentral.
CGCCUGUUUAUCAAAAACAUGUCUUUUAGAAUUCAAUUUAAAGUCUAACCUGCCCACUGAAUUUUUUUUAAUGGCCGCAGUAUUUUAACUGUGCAAAGGUAGCAUAAUCAUUUGUCUUUUAAUUAAAGGCUGGAAUGAAUGGUUGGAUGAAAUAUUAACUGUUUCAUAAAAAUUUAUAAUAGAAUUUUAUUUUUUAGUUAAAAAGCUAAAAUAAAAUUAAAAGACGAGAAGACCCUAUAAAUCUUUAUAUUUAAAAAAUUAUAAUUAUAUAGAUAAAUUAAAUUUUAAUUUUUAAAAAUAUUUUAUUGGGGUGAUAUUAAAAUUUAAUAAACUUUUAAUUUAUUAUAAACAUAAAUUAAUGAAUUUUUGAUCCAUUUAUUAUGAUUAAAAAAUUAAGUUACUUUAGGGAUAACAGCGUAAUUUUUUUAGAAAGUUCAUAUUGAUAAAAAAGAUUGCGACCUCGAUGUUGGAUUAAGGUAUAAUUUUAGGUGUAGAAGUU